UCUUCCCUACUCCUCCCAUUCC
This 22-nucleotide microRNA is filed under the name Picea abies (Norway spruce). RNAcentral's name for it is "pab-miR482a". Its record names the gene pab-miR482a. The record is from miRBase by way of RNAcentral. Lineage: Eukaryota; Viridiplantae; Streptophyta; Pinopsida; Pinales; Pinaceae. RNAcentral also lists the same sequence under 1 other name.